CCCAACAUCGCCAUCUCUUACCUUCUUAAAUAUAACACAUAUACAUAAAAAGGAAAAACUUCAAAUAUCCCCAUUAUUAUUUCAUUCUUUCUCAUUUUAGACUUUAUUUGGGAUUGCGGAGAGAUUAUGUUACGUGCGGUAAAAAAUUACGUUAGAAAAAUAUCCUGUUUAUUUUCGUACGUAAUAUUGCAUUCCGCAUAUCGCGAUGAGUCGGUUACGAUAUAUUUUCUGCGGUCCCACCGGAGAACGCAGAAGCAUAUCCCUAUAUGUUUUUUUCUCAAUUCCAUUUUAUCUAACCUCAAUACCAAACUAAGCCUUAAUAGUCUAUGGUUUAAAAUAUAUCAAGUUAGUACCAUGUGGUUUCGCCCUUUCUCACUUUAGUAUUCUGUGGUUUAAAGUGUAUCAAGUUAGUACCCUGUGGUUUCACACUUUCUUAAUUUAGUACCAUGUCGUUUCGCACUUUCUUACUUUAGUAUCAUGUGGUUUAACGUUUCAUUAAGAGAAAAAUAAAACCAUAUGGUACUAACUUUUUACAAAAAUAAAACCACAUGGUACUAACUUGAUACAAAAAUAAAAUCACAUAAUAUUAACUUGAUACAAUUUAAACUAUAGGAUACUAAAAUGAGAAAGUAUGAAACGACAUGGUACUAACUUGAUACACUUUAAACCAUAUGGUACUAAAAUAAAAAGUGCGAAACUACAUAGGAGUUUUUUGAAGUUUUCCCUACAUAAUAUAAUCUAGAAUUAAACUUCUACGCUUUUAAAAUUACCAAAUUAUUGGCACUUAUAGAUUUUUGACCAUUGAAUUAAUAAAUAUGCGGUUAGAAUGAUAUGAACUUUCUAGAGUUGAGUGAGUAACUGUUGAAUAGUAUAAUUUAACGUAUAAAUUAAGGGCGUAGAUCUAUCGGUAAAAAAUUUACAAGUAUCAAGUGCUUGGUGCUUUUAUCAUGACUAUAGCCAGACUCAUAUAAUCUAUUUAAAUUGUUGAGAUAAAAAUAAUAAUAAU
This 1006-nucleotide long non-coding RNA is filed under the name Ananas comosus (pineapple). Its description in RNAcentral is "long non-coding RNA (ACOM_LNC004604)". Lineage: Eukaryota; Viridiplantae; Streptophyta; Magnoliopsida; Poales; Bromeliaceae. The record is from RNAcentral.